Molecule: ribosomal RNA, 424 nt
Filed under: uncultured bacterium
Lineage: Bacteria
Description: partial 16S ribosomal RNA
Rfam family: Bacterial small subunit ribosomal RNA
Source: RNAcentral
AAUCUUCCACAAUGGGCGAAAGCCUGCUGGAGCAACGCCGCGGGAGUGAAGAAGGUUUUCGGAUCGUAAAACUCUGUUGUAAGUGAAGAACAAGUAGAGUAGUAACUGGCUGUACCUUGACGGUACCUUAUUAGCAAGCCACGGCUAACUACGCGCCAGCAGCCGCGGUAAUACGUAGGUGGCAAGCGUUGUCCGGAAUUAUUGGGCGUAAAGCGCACGCAGGCGGUCAUUUAAGUCUGAUGUGAAAGCCCACGGCUCAACCGUGGAGGGUCAUUGGAAACUGGGGGACUUGAGUGCAGAAGAGGAAAGUGGAAUUCCGAGCGUAGCGGUGAAAUGCGUAGAGAUUUGGAGGAACACCAGUGGCGAAGGCGACUUUCUGGUCUGUAACUGACGCUGAGGCGCGAAAGCGUGGGGAGCAAACAGG